Molecule: long non-coding RNA, 294 nt
Filed under: Elaeis guineensis (African oil palm)
Lineage: Eukaryota; Viridiplantae; Streptophyta; Magnoliopsida; Arecales; Arecaceae
Description: long non-coding RNA (EGUI_LNC038066)
Source: RNAcentral
UCAAAGAAUCCGUUGCUGCUUCUUGGUUAUCUGUUUUUCUGAUUUGAGCAUUGGAGGAUCCUCAUCGGAGCCACAACCUUCGGUUUGGGACUUGUGUUGUAGGUGACUCCAGCACCAGCAACACCAUGCGAGGUUUUCAGGUGUUUAUCUUCUGACUCUGACCGAUUUAAGCAGUAAUAGCACUCAUUAUAUGCUCAAAUAAGUUCACAGAUGCAUUACCAUGCAAAUAAUAGAGACCAUCUCUAAGAACUAAACCCAGACGAUAGUCACAGAGGAUAGGUGCUCAUGGCUAUA